UUUUUUCAGCUAUAUUACCAUUUCGUAUAGGCAAAAAAAUCUGUUACAUAUUACAUUUAUUACAUCAAACUAAAAGGAGAAACUAACUCUCUUCGAAAGUAGUUGAAAAGAGUUAAUAUUUUUUCUGGUGAAAUCAAAUGGAAUUAAUAAGAGUACUUGUUUUUCAACCAUAUAGAUUACCUUCCAGUUUCACUAUUCCACU
This 202-nucleotide long non-coding RNA is filed under the name Lathyrus oleraceus (garden pea). RNAcentral describes it as "Pisum sativum (pea) long non-coding RNA (PSAT_LNC031743)". Lineage: Eukaryota; Viridiplantae; Streptophyta; Magnoliopsida; Fabales; Fabaceae. The record is from RNAcentral.